CCCGAGAGCUCUGGGCCUUCAGCAAGCCUCAGCUGCUCCCAUCCCCUGGACUCACCUUUUAAAGCUUAUUCUGUCUCUUUCUAACUCCUUUGUCUCUGCCGGACUCCGGGUACCCUCUGGGUGGUGUGGGGCUGGUUUCCCCCAACAGUAAACAAGAUGAGUCUUCUUGGAAGAAGAAACUGAGUUUAACCCUGAAUACUUGACCUACAAGGCUUGGUUGCUGGGCUAAUUCAUAGUGAAGAGGAUCACGCUAUUCAACGUACAGACACAGCUGCCAAGGCCUCAAGUUAGAGUGGAUUCUAUCAUCUCUGAAAAUGGGAUCUGUAAUGCCAUCUUGAGGUGUUCUGUGGAGGAAGGAGGAGAGACCAUCACAUAUGAGUGGACAUCAAUGGGACCAGGGGCUGCUGUGUCCCACGUGGGGUCAGUCCUCUAUGGCUCCUGAAGCCUUCAUGACCUGGAUUGGAUCUACACUUGCACAGCUCUGAAUCCUGUUAGCUACAGCAACUCUACUCUUACCCUUGCUGCACAGCUUUGUGCAAGUUCCAAGGCAGCUGAAGGCACCUAUUGCCCAGUGAAAUGGAUUUUCCUGGGGAACAGGCUUCUUCUCCUUGUGUUCCUUGGUGUCCUACGAACUUGGCAUAUUCAGGCACAGGUGCUCAGCAAACCCUUGAGGCCUAACUCAGGGUAAUAAGAGGCCACCAGUACCCCAGGAGAGCCAGGCUGUGCCCAACUGAGGCCAUUACUUUUCUGUGGCUCAACUAAAUUACAUUUAUUGACCCGUACUCUUUUCAAGGUGAAGUACUAUGGAUUGUCAAAGGCCAUUGGGAUAAAUUUUUUUAUUUUGUCAUGUCUGAGCCCAUGUACAUGCUUAUUUUUUUUUUUUAAAAGAAGAAGUUUGGUCAAGAAGAGAUAAAAUAACUGCACGAACACCAUAUGUUAUCUAUUCUAAGCAUAUUUUUUCUCCACAAUUUAAGGUUUCUGAAAUCAAGAUAAGUCAUAAUAUAAAUGUAUACAGCUAAAAGGAAUAGGGUGUUUUUCUCCCAAAAUAUCAUUAUUAAAAUGAUCUGC
RNAcentral lists this long non-coding RNA (1068 nucleotides) under Homo sapiens (human). Its description in RNAcentral is "HSALNT0296235". The record is from RNAcentral. Lineage: Eukaryota; Metazoa; Chordata; Mammalia; Primates; Hominidae.